RNAcentral lists this small RNA (13313 nucleotides) under Caenorhabditis elegans. RNAcentral describes it as "Unclassified non-coding RNA Y71G10AR.6". The record is from RNAcentral. Lineage: Eukaryota; Metazoa; Nematoda; Chromadorea; Rhabditida; Rhabditidae.
GGAACAUGCUCUGCGAGCGCUAAUCUGUUUCUCAGACAAGAAGCACAUUUAUCGAAUGAUGACACGUGAAGCCGAGUUUGCGAAAGAAGAAAUGAAAGUGGAAUUGAUUGAAGAAUUGCCGUCAGACGCGUUGGAAAUCAGUGAAGACGAUAAAUGUCUGCUUUUGAACGGACUUGUCGAAGCUGAAGACGCUGGAGAUGAUGUUGAUGUUGGUGGUGGAGAUGACGAUGAAAUUGAUGAAUUAAUGGAUCAUGAUGAUGAAGGAGGGCAUGAUGAACAUGAAGAAGAUGAAGAAAGUGAUGUUAAAAAGGAGGAGGAAAAAGGUUCGCAGAAGCAGCAGCUGGAAAAAUGCAUUUUUUGGAGGGAUUUUGACCCAGAAAUGGGGGUUUUCGGUGAAAAAUGACCCCGGAAUGCUCUCAAAACUAGAAAAACAUCAAGUUUUUGCGGUUUUCAUACCUCAGAAGUGAGCAUUUUGGCUUGAGAAAACCAUCCGUGCGCGGUUUUGUUACCUAAAUCAGCAGCAACAACUGGAAAAAUGCAGUUUUUGGAGGAAUUUUGAGACCCGGACACUUGAAAAUCACUCAGAAAUGGGGAUUUUUGGUUGAAAAUGCUCUCAGAUGAUUUUCAUUGCUAAAAAAUGCCUCAGAAAUGAGCAUUUUGGCAGAAGAAAACCAUCAGCGCGCGGCUUUGCACGGUUUUGACGCCAAAAUCGGCUAUUUUUUUUUGGUUUUCCAACUUAAAAUCGCAUUGAGUGGUCGUUUUAAUCAUUUUUUUUGGGGAUUACUGGACAUCGGUCACAAUUUGUCUCCCUGAAGAAGAAAAAAGUGGUUUUGGCACCUAAAAUCACUCAGAAAUGGGUAUUUUUCAAGCUAAAAACCGAUAAUUUCGACUUUUGGCUCCGAAUAUGCAUUUUUCGGAGGGAUUUUGGCUCGAAAAUCACCCGGAAAUGGGGGUUUUCGGUGGAAAAAGACCCCAGAAUGCUUUCAAAACUAGAAAAAGACAUCAAGUUUUUGCGGUUUUCAUGCCUCAGAAAUGAGCAUUUUGGCUUGAGAAAACCAUCAGCGUGCGGCUUGUUUUUGCCACCUAAAACCACCCAGAAAUGAGGUAUUUUUGGUGAAAAAAGACCUCAGGAUGCGCUAAAAACUAGAAAAUAUCAAGUUUUCAUGGUUUUCGUAGCUGAAAAAUGCCUUAGAAAUGAGGAUUUUAGCAGAAAAAAACCAUGAGCGCGGUUUUGUACUACGGUUUUUGGCACUAAAUCGGCUAUUUUUUGGGUUUUGAACCUAAAAUCGUCGUUUUUAGAGAGAGAAAACCAUAAAAUGGUUUUAAAAUUUCUUUUUAAACCAUUUUUUGGAGAUUCAUCACAAUUCGCCUCUGAAGCAGUCGAUUUUUUGAUUUUGGCAUCUAAAAUCACUCAGAAAAGGGCGUUUCGGGCUAAAAAGUCGAUAAUUCGAAUUUUGGCGCCGAAUAUCACUCAGAAAUGGGUAUUUUGGUCCAGAAUGGCUUUCAGAAGGUAUUUUUGCUCCGAACAGAGAGAAGCGACGCAGAAUUUCUCAAAUUUGUGGUUUUAGCGCCCGAAAUCAUUCCGAAAAAUCAUGAAUGCCAUCAAAAAUGAGCAUUUUCGAUGACAAGAAUUUUGUCUUAAAAGCUCCAAAUUCCAAUGAAAAUCAUCAAUUUUUCGUUUUUCAGGCAGCGAAAAGAAGGAGAAGAAGCCUGAGCCGCCAAAGAAGAAGGUUUACGAAGAUGAAGAUGAGAAGGCUCCGUUUGAAAUGUAUUGGGAUGGAGCUCCGGAAUUCCAGUGGAGAUGUAUGUGAAAAUCCACAAUUUUCACACUGAAAAUUUUAACAAUUUUCCUUUUUAAAAUAUAAAAAAUCACGAUUUUUCACUCAAAAACACCAAACAAUCGUUAUUUUUAACCCCUAAAACCACAAAAUGACACAGUUGUCCUUUAAAAAGUUCGAAAAAUCCCCCAAAAAUUUCAAUUUUUCUCUCAAAAACACCAUAUAAUUCCGAUUAUUUUAUUUUUAAAAACCCCCAAAAAAAUCAUAAUUUUUGUUAAAAUUCUGAAAAAAAAACACUGAAAUUUAAUAAUUUUUAUAUAAAAACCUCUCAAAAAAUUUCAAUUUUUCUCUCAAAACCACCAAAAAUACAUCGUUUUUUUUUCCUAAAGCUUCAGCUCCAAAAACACUUCGAUUUUCAUUUAAAACCCUAAAAAUUCCGAUUGUUUACUUAAAAAAAAAACGGAAAAAUAUCGAUUUUUAAUUACAAACCUUCAGAAAAAUUCUGAUUUUUCACUUGAAAAAAAAACACCGAAAUUUUAUAUUUUGAUAUAAAAACCUCAAAAAAUUCCAAUUUUUAUUUAGAACCCUCAAAAAUUCUGAUUUUUUAUUUAAAGACCUUGAAAAUUCCGAUUCUUCCCUGAAAAAUCCCGAUUUUUCACUCAUAAAAACUCCAAAAAACCCGAUUUUUCACUUAAAAAACUCCAAAAAUCCCGAUUUUUUACUCAAAAACUUCAGAAAACCCGAUCUUUCACUCAAAAACUUUUUUAAAAAACCCGUUUUUCACUCAAAAACUUUGAUUUUUCACUUAAAAACUUCAAAAAAAUCCAUUUUUUUCACUCAAAAACUCCAAAAAACCCAAUUUUUCACUCAAAAACUCCAAAAACCCUCAAAACCUUUACCAUGUUUUGCAGUAUGCGAAGGACCACGCGACGAGAAAAAGCUGAUAAUCGAUAAUUUGUUGUGGGCCGAUUUGAACAAUGUCUUCAUCUACCGUACAAUUCAAAAAUCGACAACGUGUGAAAUCAACUUUCCGACUCGUUUCAAUUCCGAUGGAAAUCGUACGUGUCACGGAAAACUGACACUCUUUUUCCCGGGAAAUGUUGCAAUUAUGGAUGAGGCACUGAAGCAUUUGGUCUAUUUCCGUAGUGGAGAUGGAAGAAGAAUUAAAGUUUUUCUGCCACAAACCACAGUUUCUUUGAAACGAAAAGAGGAAUUCGAGGGAAAACUCGGAAGAGUUAUUAAGCCGACCGAACGAAUGAUGCAGUUGAUUGUGAAGAUCCUUCCUGACGGUUAUACUCCGACGCUGGAUGAAGCUUGUGCUUGGUUCCCACUUCAAGCCGUUAUUCAGUGUGAUUUGGUUAAUGAUGAGAUGGGGUGAGCAAGAGUUUUGUGGCUGAAAAUAGCUUAAAAUUGAUUAAAAAUAGCUGAAAAUUCACUAAAACUAGCUUAAAAUAGACGAAAAAUAGCUUUAAAAUUCACUAAAAUAGCUUAAAAUUGACUGAAAAUAGCUUAAACUUGACUGAACAUUCAAAAAAAAAUAGCUUAAAAUUUAAGAAAAUUGUCUGAAAGUAGCUGAAAAUAGACUAAAAAUAGCUUAAAAUUGACUGAAAAUAGCUGAAAAUUCACUAAAACUAGCUUAAAAUAGACUAAAAAUAGCUUAAAAUUCACUAAAAUAGCUUUAAAUUGACUGAAAAUAGCUUAAACUUGACUGAAAAUUCACUAAAAUAGCUUAAAAUUUAAAAAAAAUUGACUGAAAGUAGCUGAAAAUAGACCAAAAUAUCCUGAAAAUAGACUAAAAAUAGUUUUAAAUUGAUUGAAAAUAGCAUAAAAUUCACUAAAAUUAGCCUAAAAUAGAAUAAAAAUAGCCCAAAAUUCACUAAAAAUAGCUGAAAAUAGACUGAAAAUUGCUUUAAAAAUUACUGAAAUCGCAGAAAAUAAGAUAAAAUUUACUUUGAAAAAACGGUGUAAUUCGCUUAAAAAUUUAUGGAAAAAGCGUAAAUUUUCUUGAAAAUUGCUAAGAAUGAAAGGAGGAAAAUGACAAUUAAUAGCUGAAAUUUGAGAGAAUUAACUGAAUUUCUAUUCAAUUCUCAAGUUUUUCAAUGAAAUCUCACAAAAAAUUUGAAAAUCAUCUGAAAUUCUGCAAAAAAAAAGUAGAAUAAACUGUGAAAAAUCUGCUGAAAAUUCAUCAUUUUACUUAAAGGAGGACUAACGGUUCGGACGAUUUCGAACGUAUAGACCCAAAAUGAGCUCAAAUGAAUGAAUUUCGUAAUGAAACUGCUCAAAAAUUUUUCAAAAAUUUUUUAUGGCGGUUCAAAAUUUGGAAAAAAUUACACGGAUUUUAGCUAAAAUCACGAUUUUUUCCCAUUUUUCCGUGUCACAUCUGUUCGAAGUUGGAUUUUUUGGAAUUAUCAUCCUUUAUUGCAUAUAUUAUUUGGUAGUUUAUCUUAUUUAAUUUCGUUGAUUAAGGUACAUUUAAAGCCGAUAGGUAGCCAAAAAUCAUCGAAAUUGGUUACCUAUCGGCUUUAAAUGUACCUUAAUCGACGAAAUUAAAUGAGAUUAAUCACCAAUAUAUGUAAUAAAAGGACGAUAAUUCCAAAAAAUUCAACUUCGAACAGAUGUGACACGAAAAAACGAGAAAAAUUCAUGAUUUUAGCUAAAAUCAGUGUAAUUUUUUCCAAAUUUUGAACCGCCAUAAAAAAUUUUUGAAAAAUUUUUGAGCAGUUUCAUUACGAAAUUCAUUCAUUUGAGCUCAUUUUGGGUCUAUACGUUCGAAAUCGUCCGAACCGUUAGUCCUCCUUUAAGUAAAAUGAUGAAUUUUCAGCAGAUUUUUCACAGUUUAUUCUACUUUUUUUUUGCAGAAUUUCAGAUGAUUUUCAAUUUUUUGUGAGAUUUCAUUGAAAAACUUGAGAAUUGAAUAGAAAUUCAGUUAAUUCUCUCAAAUUUCAGCUAUUAAUUGUCAUUUUCCUCCUUUCAUUCUUAGCAAUUUUCAAGAAAAUUUACGCUUUUUCCAUAAAUUUUUAAGCGAAUUACACCGUUUUUUCAAAGUAAAUUUUAUCUUAUUUUCUGCGAUUUCAGUAAUUUUUAAAGCAAUUUUCAGUAAAUUUUAAGCUAUUUUAGUGAAUUUUAAGCAAUUUUCAGUCUAUUUUCAGCUAUUUUUGGUGAAUUUUGGGCUAUUUUUAUUCUAUUUUAGGCUUCGAAAUCGUCCGAACCGUUAGUCCUUUAAAAUUCAAUACUUUUUUCCAAUAAAUUUUCCAAUUUUUCAGAAAUCCGUGUGCAGUUGUAAAAUUCGAGACAGCCGAAGAAGCUGUGGCCGCUCACGCUGGAAAAUCCUUUGUGACAAUUGUCCAAAAAUCGAUGAUAACUGUAAAGGAUUCGGAAGGAAAUGAGAAAGAAGAAGAGAAAGAGACGGAGACACACUGCAAUGUUUUCAUGAGAGGAGGUAUAAUAAUGGGGUUUUAGACGGAAAAUUGACGAUUUUUGGGUCUGAAAAUGUGAAAACUGGCCGCGGGAAACGCAUUUUUCAACCAAAAAAUCAUGAAAUUUGAGCUAAAAUAUCACAAUUUAUGAUUAAAAAAGGUAAAAAACACGUAUUUUAUUGUAAAAAUAUCUGAAAAUCUCAAAUUUCAGCCAAAUUUUGACCCAAAACUUGUGUAUUUUGAAGAUUUUUGCUCUAAAAAUCGAAAAUAUACUGAAAUUAUAUUUCUUCUGCACAGUUUUCUCUAAAACAACGAGAAAUUAAUGCAUUUUUUACCCGAAAAUCGAGUUUUUAAAGUUAUAAUUGCUUUUUUUUGUGAUUUUUGACAAUUUUUUCGACUGAAAUGCACGAAUUUUGUCUGGAACUACAUUAUUUUCCACUAAAAAUCGUCAAAAAUUAAACGAAUUUGGCUGAAAAUUGAGCAAUUUCAGCUGAAAAUCGCUUUAAAAUCUCAGCUUUGACGAUUUUGUUUUGGAAUUCCAAAAAAUCUAAUUUUUCUCAACGUUUUCCUCAAAAUUUAACAUUUUUCGAGGAUGUUCGCUCGAAAAAUUGACCGAAAUUGAACGAAUUUGAUGAAAAAUUUGCAAAUUUCAGCUUAAAAUCGUUUGAAUUCCUCAGAUUUUUGCCGUUUUUUGUCUGAAAUUUAUGAAUUUUGGCUCGAAAUUCAUUAUUCUCCAGUAAAAAUCCCCAAAAAUUGGCAAGUUUUGCUGAAAAAUUCUCUCAAAAAAUUUAUAAAAUCAUUCGAAAUUCAGCUUUUUUUAAUCAAAAAAUUGUCUAAAAUUGGGCAAUUCUAGCCCAAAAUCGCUAAAAAAUUUCAGUUUUGACGAUUUUUCUUCUGGAAUUUCGAGAAUUUUAAUAUUUUCUCUUCCCAUUCUUCUUCCUGCUGCUGCUGACGAUUUAUUUAUUAUUGGAAAAAAUUGUUGAAAUUGGAAAAAUUUUUUCCUCUGCGAUAACAUUUAAACAGGUGGCCGGGGGCAUAUUGGUUUGAGUCAAUAUCAGAACAAAACUUUUUUUUCAAUUUUAUUUGUUCAUUUGCUCACUCCCCCGCAUACUGUCUAUAUAUUGGUACACAAUUGUCAAUUUUUGGGCUCAUUUUUCACAUUUUCCGAUUGAAAAUGUCAUAUUUUCGACUUUAAAACUGGAAAAUUCUUGAAUUUUUGAAACACUGAAAUUCACAUUUUUCUGUUAAAAAAAAUCAAAUUUUCAGCUCAAAAACUUAAAAAUCGUUUACCUUAAAACAUUACCUUAAACAUUACCUCAAAACCUUAAACAUAGUUUUUUUUGUUGCUGAAAGUUGGAAAAUUGGUGAUUUUUCACUUUUUCUGUUAAAAAACAAAUUUGCCACUUAAAAAAGUUUUCACCAAUUUCCCGCAAUUUUGGCUUAAAGGUGGAGUACCGAAAUUUGAGACUCUGCUUUUUUUAGACCGAAAUUGGUCCAAAACUACCGAAUUUCGUAAUGAGACGUUCUGAAAAUUGUUCAAAAAAAAGUUGUGGCGGUUCAAAGUUCGGCAAAAUAAGGCCCAUUUUCAGCUAAAUCAAAAAUUUUUCCAACUUCUUGGUGUCGCAACGCCUGGAACCUAAUUUUUAUUUAUUCAUCACUUUUGAAUAAAUAUUGUGGUCUUUGAGUGGGCGUUUAUUCGUUGUUUUAAGUACAUUUAUGGUCAGUGGGGCACAAAAUGUAACUUUUAUUUGUGCCCCAAAAAAAAAAAAAAACCAUAAAUGUGCGUAAAACAACGAAUAAACGCCCACUCAAAGACCACAAUAUUUAUUAAAAAAGUGAUGAAUAAAUAAAAAUUAGGUUCCAGACGUUGCAACACCGAGAAGUUGGAAAACAUUUUGAUUUUAGCUGAAAAUUGGCCUUAUUUUGCCGAAUUUUGAACCGCCAUAACAAUUUUUUGAACAAUUUUCAGAACGUCUCAUUACGAAAUUCGGUAGUUUUGGACCAAUUUCGGUCUAAAAAACCAAGUGAAAAAUCACUAAUUUUCCAACUUUCAGCAAAACAAAAACUAUGUUUUAAGGUAAAAAUAUACGAUUUUUACGUUUUUGAGCUGAAAAUUUGAUUUUUUAACAGAAAAAUGUGAAUUUCAGUGUCAAAAAUUCAAGAAUUUUCCAGUUUUAACUCAUCGUUCUAUACUCUCACACCACCUUUAAAAAUUCAGAAAAUAUUGAAUUUUCUGAAAAAAAAACUUUAAUUUUUCAAUGAAUUUCCAAAUUUGUCGUCGCAGAAAAUUUCGGUUUUCCUCCGCAUUUUCCUAAUGAUAUGAGUGAGAAAAUUGGCAAUUUUUGUGUGGAAAAUAUCAUAAAUUUCAGAAUUUUGGAUCUUUAAAGUAAAUUUUUUUAUGAAAUUAUCAAUUUUUGGCUCGAAAAUGAGUUAUUUUCCGCUUUUUUUUUUGAGUGAAAAUAAUUUUCGAGCCAAAAAUUGAUAAGGCUCUAGCUUGAAAUUAGGUAGAUUUUUGUAUUAUAUCCACGAUUUUUCCGUUUUUUAAAUGCGAAAAUUGAACAUUUUCCAGCAAAAAUUGAGAUUUUUGGGGACUAAAUUAACCGUCGGUUUAUCGAAUUUAAAAAUUCUAAAUGCUUGAUUUUACGAGCUGUUAAAAACUUGAAAAAAAAAUCAGAAAAUGUGGAAUUUUUCUACAAAUAAUACCACUGCAACUUUUUCCUCACGAGGGACGAAAAGUGGUUUCUAGGCCAUGGCCGAGGGGCCGACAAGUUUCAGCGGCCAUUUAUCUUGCUUUGUUUUCCGCCUGUUUUCUUUCGUUUUUCACAGCUUUUUCCCGUUUUUUCUUAUUAAAACUGAUAAAUAAAUACUUUUUGCAGAUGCUAAAACAAUUUCCAAGUUAAAAAAUUGUGAAUUCAGUCGGCAAGUAGCAGUGAAAGUGGCCAUUGUAAUAUGAUGGAUUACGGGAAUACAAAACCUAAACUUUUUCUGGAACAUGAUACAUAUGCUGCUUAAAUGCUGAGACUACCUGAUUUUCAUAACGAGACCGCUGAAAAAGUUUUGAGGUUUUCAAAAUUCAACUUUUUGUGAGAAAAUCUCGACUUUUUCACCAAAAAAGUUGAAUUUUGGAAACCUCAAAACUUUUUCAGCGGUCUCGUUAUGAAAAUCAGGUAGUCUCAGCAUCUAAGCAGCAUAUGCAUCAUGUUUAAGAAAAAAUUUAGGUUUUGUAUUCCUGUAAUCCAUCAUAUUACAAUGCCCACUUUCACCGCUGCUUGCCCACUGAAUACAUGAUUUUUUUACUUGGAAAUUGUUUUAGCAUCUGCAAAAAGUAUUUAUUUAUUAGUUUUAAUAAGAAAAAACGGAAAAAAUCGAUGAAAAACGAAAGAAAACAGGCGGAAAAUAAAGCAAGAUAAAUGAAGCAAGAAAAAACGGCCCCUCGACCAUGGCCUAGAAACCACUUUUCCUCGUCCCUCGUGAGGAAAAAGUUGCAGUGCCUCCAAACCCCUAAAUUUUCCUGUUUUUUUUUCAGUUGAAGCUCAUUUCGGCUCUCUGCUCACCUAUUAUGAUCAACGUAAGAAGGUAUUGGAGCAACGAAAAAAGACGGCUUCAACAGGAUCCCAACAACGUCCACAACAAGCCGGCGGAAAACGUCAGGCUGGCUCAACAAUUCGUGGACCGGCUCAGAAGAAACGUGCUCCAUCGCCAUCGCCAAAGCGGGGAGGACACAAGGAUGGUGGUGGAGCAUCACGUGGAAAUGCUCGAAAUGUAGGAAGAGGUGGUGGACAGAGAAGAUCUUCACCACCACCAAGAUCAUCUCCAAGAGGUGGUGGAGCACGGGGGGGACCAUCUUCAAGAGGAGCACCAAGAGGUGGUGGACGUGGUGGAAUUUCGAGAUCUUCUGAUAGACCGAAAUGUGAGGAAAAGUUUGCAAAACAAUGGAUUUUUCACCGAAAAUUGUCCUGAAAAUGUGAAAAUUUCACGAAAAAAAUUGAAAUUUUUUAGUAAAUUGAGCUGAAAAUUUGAGUUUUCUCGAAAAAUUGCCUGGAAAAUAUGAAAAUUUCACGGAAUUCUGGUUAGCUUAACUGCAAAUAGCUCGAAAAGUGUUAAAAUUUUGGAAUAUUAGAAUUUUUCAGUAAAUUUAGCUGAAAAUUUAAAAUGUAUAAUUUUCAGAUUCAAAUUUAGGAUAUUAAGUUUUUUGUGCAAAUAUCAACUAAUUUUCACGAAAAUUUCACUGAAAAAUUUUCAAUAUUUCUUUAAAACUAUAGAUUAAAGAAUGUUUGUCAUCAAUUAUUUCUUUAAAAAAAAUAUAAUUUUGAAAAAAAGUAUAAUGCAAAAUUAUUAAAGAAAAAAAUGUUUUAAAAUUAUAAUUCUCAAUAGAAACUUUGAAAAAAAAUUUUAUUAGAUUUUUUAAUUUUCUGAAAAUAUAUACACUUUUGUGCAAAUAUAAAUUGAUUUCUAAGAAAUUUUUAAAUUUUAACACAAAUUAUAUUUAAAAUAAAUUUUUCUAAAAAAAGUUUUUAAAGGUGGAGUACCGAAAUUUGAAACUUUGCUUUUUUAGACCAGAAUUGGUCCAAAACUACCGAUUUUCGUAAUGAGACGUUCUGAAAAUUUUUCAAAAAAAAGUUAUGGUGAUUCAAAGUUCGGCCAAAUAAGGCCCAUUUUCAGCUAAAAUCAAAAAUUUUUCCAACUUCUUGGUGUCGCAACGGAAGGAACCUAACUUUUAUUUAUUCAUCACUUUUUAAUAAAUAUUAUGGUUUUUGAUUAGGCGUUUAUUCGUUGAUUUAAGUACAUUUAUGGUCAGUGGGGCACAAAUAAAAGUUAAAUUUGGUGCCCCAAAGACCAUAAAUGUACUUAAAUCAAAGAAUAAACGACUAAUAAAAGGCCACAAUAUUUAUUAAAAAGUGAUGAAUAAAUAAAAAUUAGGUUCCUUCCGUUGCGACACCAAGAAGUUGGAAAAAUUUUGAUUUAGCUGAAAAUGGGUCUUAUUUGGCCGAACUUUGAACCACCAUAACUUUUUUUGAACAAUUUUCAGAACGUCUCGAAAUUCGGUAGUUUUGGACCAAUUUUUGGUCUAAAAAAGCAAAGUCUCAAAUUUCGGUACUCAACCUUUAACAUCUGGAAUAACAUGUAAUCAAUCAAUAUUUAAUUGUUUUUUUUUCUUCCAGCGUCGCCUCGUUCAUCAUCAUACCGCAACGAUUCAUUCUCCUCAUCAUCCCACCACAGACAACCAGCCAGAGCUGAAGCAUUUGGCAAUUAUGGAUAGUUAGUGUUGUUUUUUUUUUGUUGUUUACUUUUUAAAAUCAAAUUAACUCAAAACAACCAUUCAAAAUGUCGAAAUUCUGAUAGGAAUUCGACUUUUGGUGUUUUAUCCUAAAAAACUCCUUAAAAGAAAUGAGAAAAAUACAAUUUUACUGUCGUAUUUAGCUAAAAGCUCAUGCAUUUCCGGGGUAAACACGCUAUAUUUUUAAUGGAUUCUUGACACGAAAUGUCGUGUGAAAUUUUUGAUGAGAUUAUGAGAGAUUAUAUUCAUCAGAAAAUUCGACGAAAUUGGGUCGGAAAUUGACUGAAAUAUCGCGAAAAUGCACAAAAUUUUAAAUUUCUAAUGCAUUUUGUGGUGAAAAUCACUUCAAAAUUGAUUUUUUUUUUCAAAUUUUCGGCGAGGAAAAUUAUACAAAAUUUGUGUGCUUUUUUCCCGUAAAAUUGUCAAUUUUCUACAAAAAACUUUUUAUUAUUUGCUAAAAAUUAAACCCCCCCCCCCCCCCCCCCGAUCAAAAUAGCCAAUUUUCCAUUCCAAAAUCGAAUUUUGUGCGAAAAAUUGGAUUUUUUUUCCACAUUUUUGGUGUAAAAAUAGUAAAAAUAACAAAAAUUUGUGGAUUCGCGAUUUAUUUCAAAAAAUCGGGGGUACGUGCCUGAAAAUUGUCGCGUUUUUACAUCUUAUAGGUUCAAAGUCCACCUUUUCCCCAUAAAAUUUAUCUAUGAAAACACUUCUUUUUUUUUAAAAUUAUGUGAUUUAAACCAAAAACACCAGAAAAAUGGAAAAAUUCGUCGUAUUCGUAUUUCAUAUUCGAAAAAUACUUUACUUUUUGUCCGGAAAAAAAGGGUUUUUUAAAAUGCCAAAACCUGGUGUGAAAAGGUUUUCGUAAAAAAGUUUUAUUACAGGAACACAUAUUUGACGCGCAAAAUAUCUCGUAGCGAAAGCUACAGUAAUCCGUUGAAUCUUUUCACACCAGGUUUUGGCAUUUUAAAAAACCCUUUUUUUCCGGACAAAAAGUAAAGUAUUUUUCGAAUAUGAAAUACGAAUACGAAUUUUUCCAUUUUUCUGGUGUUUUUUGGUUUAAAUCACAUAAUUUUAAAAAAAGUGUUUUCAUAGAUAAAUUUUAUGUGGAAAAGGUGGACUUUGAACCUAUAAAAUGUAAAAACGCGACAAUUUUCAGGCACGUACCCCCGAUUUUUUGAAAUAAAUCGCGAAUCCACAAAUUUUUGUUAUUUUUACUAUUUUUACACCAAAAAUGUGGCAAAAAAAUCCAAUUUUUCGCACAAAGUUCGAUUUUGGAAUGGAAAAUUGGCUAUUUUGAUCGGGGGGUUUAAAAUUAUUUUUUGGCAAAAAAAAUUCAGUAUUUUUCGAAUAUGUAAUGUGUGAAGUUAGUUUUCAUGUUACCUGGUUUAAAUGAAUUAGAUGAAUUUCCUUUCAAUUUCUGACACAUUUCGUAACUGGAAUACAUUAAAUAUUUAAUAUUUCCCCACGACGUAAUAAGCCAUCGUCGCGUGUUUACCGGAAAUUAUGCUUUUAGAGGCUCUAGAGAAGAUUUAUAUAUAUAUAUAUCUACAUAUAUAUGAUAAUUUAUUCAUUUUCCGUCCCUGUGUGACACCUCUUAAUCCCCCCGUUUUUCCAGUGGUCAAUUCGAGAAUCGUUACAACAGCAGCAACGUUGAUCCGUUUGGACGUCCGGUUUACGGAAAUUCUGGUAAGGAAUUUGGCUUGAAAAUUGAAAUUAUCGAAUUUUUUGAGCAUAAAAUCUUUUUUCAUCUGAAAAAAACUUUAAAAUUCGAGUGAUUUUUACCUAAAAAUGCCCCAAAAUUUAUGUUUUCUGCUUAGAAAUUUCCUUGAAAAUUGUAUAGUUUUUAUUGUAAUUCUGGAGUGGGAAUUUGGCUUGAAAAUUGAAGAAUUUCAGAUUUUUCGAGCUAAAAAUUUUGUAAAAAGCUUGAAAUUCGAGUGAUUUUGACCUAAAAAUGCCCCAUAAAUUUAUGUUUUCUGCUGGAAAUUUCCUGAAAACGCGUAUAUCUUUUAAAAGAAACCUAUGAGAGCAAUUUUGGCCAAAAAUCUCGAAAUUCGAGCAAUUUUUGAUCCGAAAAAUUGGAAAAAAAACGUUUUUUUAAUUAAAAAUUAAACGUUUUUAAGAUUUUGUGAGGAUCUCCGCCUAAAAAUAGCGUCAAACCCCAGAUAUUUCCUCAAAAUUUGCAAAAAAUGGGUAUUUUCAGCUCAAAAUACGAGAAAACUGUGAAAAUUGGUAUUGGGUUUGAAAAAUGAAGAAUUUCUAAUAUUUUCAGGCAGAACUUGUAAAAAGCUUAAAAUUUGCAGGAUUUUGACCUGAAAAUGUCCCAAACAUUUUUUUCUGAUGGAAAACUGUUUGAAAUGCUCAAAAUUCGAGCAUUUUUAACUUGAAAACUCGGAAAAACACGGAAAUUUCAUUGAAAAGUUGAAGAUUUUUGCGAUUUUCCCACCUGAAAAUACGUGUAAAAUUGUUUAAAUAUUCAUAAAAAGUUGAAUAUUCUGAGCAGAUUGUGUGCUUGGAAUUUCUCAAAUUUGGGAAUCUCGCGGAAAAACCCUUCAAAAAAAAAUUUUUUUAGCUGAAAAUUGAUAAUUUCCGCUUAAAAUGCGAGAAAAAUUGCAGAAAUUCGUGAAAAAGACAAUUUUCCCGGAAAUUUCAGCACAAUUUUCAUCAUAUAACUGCUCGCCCACAUUUUUCUUAUCAGUUUCUCGAUUUUUUGGCUUAAAAAUGCGAAAAUUUCACUUAAAAUCUGAGGAAAAGCUUUUUUUUUUCAUAUUUUAUCUUUGCAGCGUUCAACUCGUCAUCCUCGUCCUCCUCAUUCCAUCGUGGAGAUGAUCGUAGCGGAUUCUUUGA